Long non-coding RNA from Xenopus tropicalis (tropical clawed frog), 7708 nucleotides. RefSeq lists it as uncharacterized. The transcript is spliced from 8 exons. Lineage: Eukaryota; Metazoa; Chordata; Amphibia; Anura; Pipidae. The record is from RefSeq and is a predicted model, not a curated record.
CCUCCAUUUUGGGUUUAUAAGGGAUUGAGCUGUUUGCUUUCGUAAUUUUGUCAGUGAAGUCAAAAGACUGUGAACAUGGCUGUCCACUGGUAUAGAUCCUGUGGCUCUCCUAUCUGGUAUUUAGAUAUGUGCAACUAAAUCAGUGCAAAUCUCCUAGCAGCCAUGCAAUUCAAUGUAUAAAAGAAAUGGAGCUGCAGAAAAGGAACUCAAAAGGCUGGUUGGGACGUUUAAGAAAACAAUGGCUGCACUGGUGAUUGAAGCUUAUUCAGGCUUGGUCCCUAUCCUUGACGCUGUCCUGCAAAGGAACUAUUCCUUUUAGUAGGGUUUCAGAAAAAGACCUGCAUUGUUUUAACAUGUAUAUUCCUUUAAUAGACUGGACCCUGGUUUAGAUAAAGCCCUGCCCUUCAGGUGCUUCAGAUGUAGCCAAAAAUGCUGCACCCUAAUGAGGCAAUAAACCUGUUCCAGAGGCAAAUCAACCUUUUAAGAUGGAUUCCUCAACUUGCACACCAUAGUGCUUUUUCUGCUUGGGCAUCUUUUUGUGUUACAGGUCAGAAUUGCUGUGCCACAGAAGAUCUUUACCAUUGGAAGGUGAUUAUUCUUUUACAUAUUCCACAAUAAUCAUUCUUAUUAGGAGGCUUUUCUGCCUGUGCUUGCAGGUGAGUGUUCUACCCUGUUACAGGUACCAGCAAAACCAGACUGAUUUAAAUACUUCCAAGUAUCUUUCAGCCUUUUCUUUGUUUCAUAGGAUGGCAUUUGCUUUGAAAAUAUUUUUUGGACUGCUGGAGCUUGUGAUUUGUGUGUAAGUAGAGGAAUAGAUAUGCAUGGAUAUGGAAAGAUCAGCAUUAAAUCUUUGUUUUUACAGGUUUUCCUAGUUUGUUUUACUUCAGCCUUGCCAUGUUUGCCAGAGAUCAGAAAAGUGUGAUCCUAUAUCUUAUGGUAUGUAUGAGUGGAUCGAUGAUGGUGCUUUGUUUUACAGAUUGCACCCUGGUGCUGGAAAGUGCAGCAGCAGAAAUAAUCCUGCACUGCUGGCAUUUGUGAUCAGUGUGUGAGUAAAGGAAUAGAGGUACAUGGAUAAAGAGCUUUAUUUAUUCCAAAGGUCUUUGUUUUGCAGGUUGAACAGAGUGUAGAAGGUCUAGUAUCAGAUGCAUAUAACAUUGGACUGCGGAAGCAUACCAUCAGAAUGUGAGUAAAGAAAUAGCUGUGCAUAAAUAAUGAGAAAUUAUUCAGCAGGCCAUCUUUUGUUUUUACAGAUUUUUCUGGUUUGCCAAACAUCUGACCCCUGUGGAUUUCAGGUUCAGCAGAUUAUAUGGGAUCCUUUCUUUUGGUAGGUAUGAGAGGAUGGAGAAAUGUUUUAUGAUGUUACAAUUCAGCACAGGCAUCUUUGUCUUACAGGCUGGAUCCAGUAUAGGUCUAGUACCAGAUGAAGAUAAUCAUGGACAACUAGAGCUUUUGAUUGGUAUGUGAGUAGAUCAAUUCAUGUGCAUGCAUUAGGAGAGAAAUUCUUCAACCCUGGCAUAUAUUUAACCUUGGCAGGUUACGAGGCAUCCUCUUUCUUUGGCUAAGUGUAUGGACAAAUUAUGUAUUUUCUUUUUGUAACUUACAAUUUUUAUUAAGAAAUUUGGGGGGUACAGAAAGGAAGAGGGGAGGGGGUUAGCAAUUUCACUUCCACAGGUGGACAGAGCAUAGUAAAACAUGUUGUAUCCUUGAUUAUACAUUUGCCGUCUGUUACAGUCAUGUAUUGGAGUGAAAGGAAAAGGAGAAAAAGAGGAAGAGGACACUGAAUGGGAAAUAUAUGGGUGAAAAAGGGGGGAGGUACUCAAGUUUAAGUUUGUGUUGGCUGUGUGAGUAGGUCCCAGGGUGACCAUAUUUUUACACACAGUGGAGUUCUAUUUUGUAGCCGGGCUAGAUUGUAUUCAAAUUGUUUGAUGUAAUUGAUUUUUUGUUUUACUUCUGAGAGUGAGGGGAUAGCGAUUGUCUUCCAUUUGGCUGCAAUGGAAAUGUGGGCCACCGAGAGUAUCUGGUUGACCCGUUUCUGUGUAUGUUUUGAUAGUUGUUUGUAUGGCUUACCUAGGAGUAGGGUGGUAAUGUCUUUUUCUAGAGGUGCAAGCGUGAUCUGGCGUAGUAGUGCCAGGACUUUGUCCCUUGAUACAACCAUACUGGGACAAUGCCAGAAGAUGUGAGGUAAGUCUCCGGGUUGCCCGCAUUCCCUCCAGCAAUAGGGAAUAGUGCAUGGAGUUUGACUGGCGUAUGGUACCAAAACAUGACUAUUUUAUAAAUGUUUUCUUGUUGCUUUACACAUGUAAUGCCUCGUUUCAUAUUGUCCCAUAUGGAUUCCCAUUCAGUUUCCUCAAGUUCUCUGCCUAUGCAAGUCUCCCAUUUGUGCAUAUAGUGGUGUUUGUAGUUCUCCUCUGUGGAAGGAUUGACCAACAUUUUGUAAAUAGCGGAGAACAGGCCUCUUUGAGGGAGGCCACGGACCGCCAAGCGUUCAAAAGGUAAUUAUGUAUAUUCUUAAUCCUGGGGAUUUACUUGUUUUUACAGAUAUUCUUGUUUUGGCUAAUUUCUGGCUGCUGUGGCAUUUCAACAUUUGGCAAAUUAUAUGGGAUGUGCUUCUUUAUGUAGGUAAAAGUUGACGGACAAAUUAAUUAUGAUGAUGUUACACUUCAGCAUGGGCAAAUUGGUUUUAUAUCUAGCAUAAAAGGCCUAGUAGGGGAUGCAGAUAACCUUGGACUGACUAAGCCUAUGACUUGUACUGUAUGUGAGUUGAAGAAUAAAUGUGCAUGGAUAAGGAUGCAUUUAGGAUUCAGGGAACAUUUCAAUACUUCUGCCUUUGCAUUUUAUGCAGAAUCCUAUGUCUUUUGGGAGGUGUAACAGUAUGGAGAAAUUAUGGCAUUAUUCUUCAGCACCUUUGUUUUAUAGUUUGGGCCCUGGUGCAACAAAGUCCAGCAGCAGAUCUUGGACUCCUGAAGUUUAUGAUCAUCCUUUUAGUAAAGGAAUAUGUUUCUAUGGAUAAGCAAGAGUUAUGCCUUAGCUUAAAAAAUCUUUUUGUAUUUAGUUUCUUCUAGCUGCUGUGGAAUUUAAACGUUGGCAAAUUACAUGUGCUUCUAUUUCAUUUGGUAAGUAUGAGUGGAUGGAAAAGUUAAUUAUGAUUGUAUUUAGUACAUCUUUUUUUCACAAUUUGGAUCCAGUACACAAAGUUGUGCAACAAAUGCAGAUAACCAUUGUCUGCUGGACCUUGUGAUUUGUAUUUGAGUAAAGGUAUAGAUGUGCAUGCAUAAGAAAGAUUUUUCAGGCUGUGGAUCUUUUGCCUUUGUUUUCCUAGGUGCAGUAUCUUAUUUCUUUUUGAAAGUAUGAGAGGAAAGGACAAAUUAUGAUUCUGGCAAUCUUUAACCCUGGCAUCUUUGUUUUACAGAUUGGACCCUGGAGUUGAAAAAGUGAAACAACAAAAAUAAUCUUAAACUACUGGAGUUUGUGAUCAAUGUGUGAGUAAAGGAAUAGGUGUACAUGGAUAGAGUUUAUUCCAGACAUCUUUGUUUUGCAGGUUGGACCAAGUUUAGAAGGUCAGAUGUAGAUAACCUAGGAUUACUGAAGCAUGCCAUCAGAAUGUGAGUAAUGGAAUAGCUGUGCAUGAAUUUUUUGUUUUUACAGAUUUUCCUGGUUUGCAAAACAUCUGGCCCCUGUGGAUUUCAGGCUUAGCAGAAUAUGUUGCAUCCUCCUUAUUUUGGUAGGUUUUGAGAGGAUGGAGAAAUGUUUUAUAAUAAUCUUCAGCACAGAAACCUUAGUCUUACAGGUUGGAUCCAUUAUAGGUCUAGUAGCAGAUGCAGAUAAUCAUGGACUUCUGGAGCUUGUGAUUGGUAUGUGAGUAGAUUAAUUCAUGUGUAUGCAUUAGGAGAGAAAUUCUUCAACAGACGUACAGAUUAUACAGAUGUUCAUAGUUUGGCAAAUGUCGAGCUGCUGUGGAGUUUCAACCUUGUUAGAUUACUUGGAAUCUUUCAUUUUGGUAGGUAUAAAUGGAUGGACUAAUUAUAUAAUGUAUUUGUUUUUACAGGUUUUCCUGGUUUGGCGAUCGCCUGCUUGUUGUGAUACUUCAGCCUUGGCAGGUUACAUUGGGAUCCUAUGUCUUUUGGAAGGUAAGAAUGAAUAGAGUAAUUAUGGUGUUAAUAUACUUCAGCCUGGGCACCUUUGUUUUACAGGUUGGACCGCUGGACAUUUGGACCGCUGGACCCUGAUAUGUAUGUUGAAUCCAGUAUAGAAGGUCCAGUAGCAGAUGCCCUUGGACUGAUGGAGCUUGUGAGUAGAUUCAUUCAUGUGCAUACACAAGAGAUUCCAGGUUUUCCAGGUUUUGUGUGUGUGCUUUGGAGUUUUAGCAUUGGCAGAUUACGUUCUUUUGGGUAGGUAUGAGCAUAUGGAGAAAUUAAUUAUGGUGUUAUUUUUCAGAUGAGCAUCUUUGUUUUACAGAUUGGGCCCUCAUGUUGGAAAGUGUAACAGAAGCAAUCUUGGACUGCUGGAGUUUUUGAUCAAUGUGUGAGUAAAGCAAUAGAUGGACAUGGAUAAAGAGUUUAUUCAAGAUGUCUGUGUGUUGCAGGUUGGACCAAGUGUAGAAGGUCAGAUGCAGAUAACCUAGGAUUGUUGAAGCACAUCAUUAUAAUGUGAGUAAAGGAAUAUUUGUGCCUAAAUAAUGAGAAAUUAUUCAGCAGGCCAUCUUUGUUUUUACAGAUUUUCCUGGUUUCCAAACAUCUGGCCCCUGUGGAUAUCAGGUUUAGCAGAUUGUGAGAUCCUCUUUAUUUUGGUAGGUAUGAGAGGAUGGAGAAAUGUUUUAUGAUGUUACAAUUCAGCACAGGCAUCUUUGUCUUACAGGUUGGAUCCAGUAUAGGUGCAGUACCAGAUGCAGAUAAUCAUAGACUUCUGGAGAUUGUGGUUGGUAUGUGAGUAGAUGAAUUCAUGUGCAUGUAUUAGGAGAUACAUUCUUCAACCCUGGCAUAUCUUUGUUUAUACAGAUGUUCAUGGUUUGGCAAACAUCUGGCUGCUGUGUAAUUUGAACCUUUGCAGGUAACGUGUCAUCCUCUUUCUUAGGUAGAUAUAAAUGGAUGGACUAAUUAUGUCAUUUAUUUGUUUUUACAGGUAUGGCGAUCCCCUGGUUGCUGUGAUACUUCAGCCUUGGCAGGUCACAUUGGGAUCCUAUUUCUUUUGGAAGGUAAGAAUGAAUAGAGUAAUUAUGGUGUUGACAUACUUCAGUGUGGGCAUCUUUGCUUUACAGGUUGGAUCUAACAUAGAAAGCCUAGCAGCAAAUGUAGAUACCUUUGGACUGCUGCACCCUGAUAUGUAUGUGAGUAAAGGUAUAGAUGUACAUGGAUAAGUAGAGAAUUGUCAGCCCUGGCAUAUUUUGUUUUUAGAGAUUUUUCUAGUUUGUGAAACAUCUGGCUGCAGUUCAAUUUCAGCCUUAGAAGAUUACAUGGGAUUCUCUUUCUUGGGUAGGUAUGAGUGGAUGGAGAAAAUUAUAAUAGAAUUUUUUAAUCCUGGGUAUUUAUUUUUACAGGAUUUCCUGCUUUUGUAAACAUCGGACUGCUGUUGAGUUUCAACCUUGGCAGAAUAUAUGGGAUCCUAUUAGAUUGAGCCCUCAUAUUAGAAAGUGUAACAGAAGUAACCUUGGACUGCUAUAGUUUGCGAUCAAUGUGUGAGUAAAGGAAUAGAUGGACAUGGAUAAAGAGUUUAUUACAGACAUCUUUGUUUUACAGGUUGGACUAAGUGUCACAUGCAGAUAACCUAGGAUUACUGAAGCAUGCCAUCAGAAUGUGAGUAAAUGAAUAUUUGUGCAUAAAUAAUGAUAAAUUAUUCAGCAGGCCAUCUUUGUUUUUACACAUUUUCCUAGUUUGACCAACAUCUGGCCCCUGUGGAUUUCAACCUUAGCAGAUUAUGUGGGAUCCUCUUUAUUUUGGUAGGUAUGAGAGGAUGGAGAAAUGUUUUAUGAUGUUACAAUUCAGCACAGGCAUCUUUGUCUUACAGGUUGGAUCCAGUAUAGGUGUAGUACCAGAUGCAGAUAAUCAUAGACUUCUGGAGCUUGUGGUUGGUAUGUGAGUAGAUGAAUUCAUGUGCAUGCAUAAGUAAAGAAAUUCUUCAACCCUGGCAUAUCUUUGUUUAUACAGAUAUUCAUGGUUUGGUCUGGCUGCUGUAUAAUUUCAACCUUUGCAGUUAAUGUGGCAUCCUCUUUCUUUGGUAGGAAUAACUUGAUAGACAAAUGAAUUAUGAUGCUAUUCUUAAGCCUGGCCAGUUAUUUAUUUUUACAGAUUUUUCUGGUUUGGCAAACAUCUAACUGUUGUGGAGUUUUCAAUCUUGGCAGAUUACAUGGAAUCCUUUCUUUUGGUAGGUAUAUAUGGAUGGACUAAUUAAUUAUGUAAUUCUUAAGUCCGGUCAUUUAAUUGUUUUUACAGGUUUUCUUGGUUUGGUGAUCACCUGGUUGCUGUGAUACUUCAGCCAUGGCAGGUCACAUUGGGAUCCUAUUUCUUUUGGAAGGUAAGAAUAAAUAGAUAAAUUAUGGUGUUGACAUAUUUUAGCAUGGGCAUCUUUGUUUUACAGGUCGGACUAAGUGUAGAAGGUCACAUGCAAAUAACCUAGGAUUGUUGAAGCAUGCCAUUAGAACGUGAGUAAAGGAUUAGCUGUGCAUAAAUAAUGACAAAUUCUUCAGCAGGCCAUCUUUGUUUUUACAGAUUUUCCUGGUUUGCAAAACAUCUGGCCCUUGUUGAUUUCAGUAUUAGCAGAUUGCCUCUUUAUUUUGGUAGGUAUGAGUUGACGGAAAAAUUAUGUUGCUAGUCUUCAGCACAGGUAUCUUUGUUUUACAGGUUGGAUCCAGUAUAAAAGGUCUAGUAGCAGAGGCUUGGACUGAUUGAGCUUGUGAGUAGAUUCAUUGAUGUGCAUGCAUAAGAGAGAUUCUUCAGCCUUGGCUUUUUUUUUUUUUAUACAGGUUUUCCUGGUUUGGCAAAGGUCUGGCCACUGGCGUUUUAGUCUUUGAAAAUUACAAAAUUACGUGUGCUCCUAUUUCUUUUGGGUAGGUAUGAGUAGAUGGAGAAAUUAAUUAUAGUGUAAUUUUUCAGCUGUAUCUUUUUUUUUUUUACAGAUUGGGCCCUGGUGCUGGAAAUUACAAAUAAUCUUGGACUGUUGGAGUUUGUGAUCAGUGUGUGAGUAAAGGAAUAGACGUACAUGGAUAAUGUCUUUGUUUUGCAGGUUGGACAGAGUGUAAAAGGUAAGACAGGGUCUCAAUGUGGGGGUGCAAGGCCCACUGGGGCUUCUGCCUCAGGGGGCCCCCACCACCCGUCUAACUCCCACCUCAAGCAAGCGUAAAGUAAAAUUUUCUGCAGCGGCAGCAGGUCAGAGGUCCUGUCCAACCCUGUGGAAUACCAGUGCAUAAAUGAGAAAUUCUUCAGCAAGUCAUAUUUAUUUUUACAGAUUUUGCUGGUUUUCAAACAUCUGGCCCCUGUGGAUUUCAGGUUUAGCAGAUUACAUUGGGAUCCUCUUUUUGGUUACCUGGCUUGCAGCCAUUUCCUUAUGCUGAUGCAUGCCCCACCAAUUAAGCACCGAAGGCAAGAACCCUUCUACCCUACACCGAACACAUCUCAAGGGGAUGAGAAACCUGGCAUCUCUUCUUUUUCACCCUCCAUUCUGUUGGAUUUAAUAUGUUUUAAAAUUGUAAAAUGUUGUUUUUCAUUAAAUGCAGACU